Molecule: ribosomal RNA, 715 nt
Filed under: uncultured bacterium
Lineage: Bacteria
Description: bacterial SSU rRNA
Rfam family: Bacterial small subunit ribosomal RNA
Source: RNAcentral
GUCGACGCGAACGGGGCUUCGGCCCUGUCGGUAGAGUGGCAGACGGGUGAGUAACACGUGGGUAACCUGCCCGGAGGUGAGGGAUAACGUUGCGAAAGUGACGCUAAUACCGAAUGACAUCAUCGGGGCUUUGGUCCCUUUGAUCAAAGAUGGCCUCUCCUUGGAAGCUAUUGUUUGAAGAUGAGCCCGCGUCCCAUUAGCUUGUUGGUGGGGUAAUGGCCUACCAAGGCAGCGAUGGGUAGCUGGUCUGAGAGGAUGAUCAGCCACACUGGAACUGACACACGGUCCAGACUCCUACGGGAGGCAGCAGUGAGGAAUUUUGCGCAAUGGGGGAAACCCUGACGCAGCAACGCCGCGUGAGUGAUGAAGGCUUUCGGGUCGUAAAGCUCUGUCAAGUGGGAAGAACUCCCAUGAGGUUAAUACCCUCAUGGUUUGACGGUACCACUGAAGGAAGCACCGGCUAACUCCGUGCCAGCAGCCGCGGUAAUACGGGGGGUGCAAGCGUUAUUCGGAUUUACUGGGCGUAAAGCGCGCGUAGGCGGCCGUUUAAGUCAGAUGUGAAAGCCCGGGGCUCAACCCCGGAAGUGCAUUUGAUACUAUUCGGCUUGAGUAUGGGAGAGGGAAGUGGAAUUCCUGGUGUAGAGGUGAAAUUCGUAGAUAUCAGGAGGAACACCGGUGGCGAAGGCGACUUCCUGGACCAAUACUGACGCUGAGG